UACGUAGGGUGCGAGCGUUAAUCGGAAUUACUGGGCGUAAAGCGUGCGCAGGCGGUUGUGCAAGACAGAUGUGAAAUCCCCGGGCUUAACCUGGGAACUGCAUUUGUGACUGUACGGCUAGAGUGCGGCAGAGGGGGAUGGAAUUCCGCGUGUAGCAGUGAAAUGCGUAGAUAUGCGGAGGAACACCGAUGGCGAAGGCAAUCCCCUGGGCCUGCACUGACGCUCAUGCACGAAAGCUGGGGAGCAAAAGGGA
RNAcentral lists this ribosomal RNA (253 nucleotides) under uncultured bacterium. RNAcentral describes it as "partial 16S ribosomal RNA". It matches the Rfam family "Bacterial small subunit ribosomal RNA", at positions 524 to 777 of the family's 1533-position model. The record is from RNAcentral.